CCUACGGGCGGCAGCAGUGGGGAAUAUUGGACAAUGGGCGAAAGCCUGACCCAGCCAUGCCGCGUGUGUGAAGAAGGCCUUCGGGUUGUAAAGCACUUUCAGUGGGGAAGAAAGCCUUGGGGCUAAUACCCUCGAGGAAGGACAUCACCCACAGAAGAAGCACCGGCUAACUCCGUGCCAGCAGCCGCGGUAAUACGGAGGGUGCGAGCGUUAAUCGGAAUUACUGGGCGUAAAGCGCGCGUAGGCGGUCUGAUAAGCCGGUUGUGAAAGCCCCGGGCUCAACCUGGGAACGGCAUCCGGAACUGUCAGGCUAGAGUGCAGGAGAGGAAGGUAGAAUUCCCGGUGUAGCGGUGAAAUGCGUAGAGAUCGGGAGGAAUACCAGUGGCGAAGGCGGCCUUCUGGACUGACACUGACGCUGAGGUGCGAAAGCGUGGGUAGCAAACAGGAUUAGAUACCCUAGUAGUC
Molecule: ribosomal RNA, 465 nt
Filed under: Vreelandella stevensii
Lineage: Bacteria; Pseudomonadati; Pseudomonadota; Gammaproteobacteria; Oceanospirillales; Halomonadaceae
Description: partial 16S ribosomal RNA
Rfam family: Bacterial small subunit ribosomal RNA
Source: RNAcentral